RNAcentral lists this transfer RNA (73 nucleotides) under Chelonus insularis. Its description in RNAcentral is "tRNA-Met". It matches the Rfam family "tRNA". From Rfam's summary of the family: Transfer RNA (tRNA) molecules are approximately 80 nucleotides in length. Their secondary structure includes four short double-helical elements and three loops (D, anti-codon, and T loops). The record is from RNAcentral. Lineage: Eukaryota; Metazoa; Arthropoda; Insecta; Hymenoptera; Braconidae.
GCCUCAGUAGCGCAGAUGGCAGCGCGUAAGUCUCAUAAUCUUAAGGUCGUGAGUUCGAUCCUCACCUGGGGCA